UACAGGGGGCGCGAGCGUUGCUCGGAAUCACUGGGCGUAAAGCGAACGCAGGCGGACUGUUAAGUCGGGUGUGAAAGCCCGGGGCUCAACCCCGGAAUUGCAUUCGAAACUGGCAGUCUUGAGUACGGGAGAGGGGAGUGGAAUUCCUGGUGUAGCGGUGAAAUGCGCAGAUAUCAGGAGGAACACCGGUGGCGAAGGCGGGUCUCUGGGCCGAUACUGACGCUGAGGAGCGAAAGCGUGGGGAGCGAACAGG
RNAcentral lists this ribosomal RNA (253 nucleotides) under uncultured bacterium. RNAcentral describes it as "partial 16S ribosomal RNA". It matches the Rfam family "Bacterial small subunit ribosomal RNA", at positions 524 to 776 of the family's 1533-position model. The record is from RNAcentral.